CUCGUAGGCGGUUUGUUGCGUCGGGAGUGAAAACUCAGGGCUUAACUCUGAGCUUGCUUCCGAUACGGGCAGACUUGAGGUAUUCAGGGGAGAACGGAAUUCCUGGUGUAGCGGUGAAAUGCGCAGAUAUCAGGAGGAACACCGGUGGCGAAGGCGGUUCUCUGGGAAUUACCUGACGCUGAGGAGUGAAAGUGUGGGGAGCGAACA
Molecule: ribosomal RNA, 207 nt
Filed under: uncultured bacterium
Lineage: Bacteria
Description: partial 16S ribosomal RNA
Rfam family: Bacterial small subunit ribosomal RNA
Source: RNAcentral